CCUACGGGUGGCAGCAGUAGGGAAUAUUGCUCAAUGGGGGAAACCCUGAAGCAGCAACGCCGCGUGGAGGAUGAAGGUUUUCGGAUUGUAAACUCCUUUUGUUAGAGAAGAUAAUGACGGUAUCUAACGAAUAAGCACCGGCUAACUCCGUGCCAGCAGCCGCGGUAAUACGGAGGGUGCAAGCGUUACUCGGAAUCACUGGGCGUAAAGAGCGCGUAGGCGGGAUAGCAAGUCAGAGGUGAAAUCCUAGGGCUUAACCAUAGAACUGCAUUUGAAACGGUUAUUCUAGAGUAUGGGAGAGGUAGGUGGAAUGCUUGGUGUAGGGGUAAAAUCCGUAGAGAUCAAGAGGAAUACUCAUGGCGAAGGCGACCUGCUAGAACAUAACUGACGCUGAUGCGCGAAAGCGUGGGGAGCAAACAGGAUUAGAUACCCUUGUAGUC
Molecule: ribosomal RNA, 440 nt
Filed under: uncultured bacterium
Lineage: Bacteria
Description: partial 16S ribosomal RNA
Rfam family: Bacterial small subunit ribosomal RNA
Source: RNAcentral